Molecule: ribosomal RNA, 478 nt
Filed under: uncultured bacterium
Lineage: Bacteria
Description: partial 16S ribosomal RNA
Rfam family: Bacterial small subunit ribosomal RNA
Source: RNAcentral
GAUGAACGCUAGCGGCAGGCCUAACACAUGCAAGUCGAGGGAGAAGCCCUUUCGGGGGCAGAAACCGGCGCACGGGUGCGUAACGCGUAUGCAACCUACCUUUCACAGAGGGAUAGCCCGAAGAAAUUUGGAUUAAUACCCCAUAAUAUUAUUGGAUGGCAUCAUUUGAUAAUUAAAACUGCGGUGGUGAAAGAUGGGCAUGCGUCCUAUUAGCUAGUUGGAGUGGUAACGGCACCCCAAGGCUACGAUAGGUAGGGGUCCUGAGAGGGAGAUCCCCCACACUGGUACUGAGACAGGGACCAGACUCCUACGGGAGGCAGCAGUGAGGAAUAUUGGUCAAUGGUCGGAAGACUGAACCAGCCAUGCCGCGUGCAGGAAGAAUGCCUUAUGGGUUGUAAACUGCUUUUAUAUGGGAAGAAUAAGGCGUACGUGUACGUUGAUGACGGUACCAUAUGAAUAAGCAUCGGCUAACUCCGUG